GAUGAACGCUGACAGAAUGCUUAACACAUGCAAGUCAACCUGAAUUUGGGUUUUUAACUUAGGUUUGGGUGGCGGACGGGUGAGUAACGCGUAAAGAACUUGCCUCACAGCUAGGGACAACAUUUGGAAACGAAUGCUAAUACCUAAUAUUAUGAUAAUAGGGCAUCCUAUAAUUAUGAAAGCUGUAAGUGCUGUGAGAGAGCUUUGCGUCCCAUUAGCUAGUUGGAGAGGUAACGGCUCACCAAGGCGAUGAUGGGUAGCCGGCCUGUGAGGGUGAUCGGCCACAAGGGGACUGAGACACGGCCCUUACUCCUUCGGGAGGCAACAGUGGGGAAUGUUGGACAAUGGACCAAGAGUCUGAUCCAGCAAUUCUGUGUGCACGAUGAAGUUUUUCGGAAUGUAAAGUGCUUUCAGUUGGGAAGAAAGAAAUGACGGUACCAACAGAAGAAGUGACGGCUAAAUACGUG
RNAcentral lists this ribosomal RNA (467 nucleotides) under uncultured bacterium. Its description in RNAcentral is "partial 16S ribosomal RNA". It matches the Rfam family "Bacterial small subunit ribosomal RNA", at positions 28 to 507 of the family's 1533-position model. The record is from RNAcentral.